UGGCCUAGAAGACAAACUGCCUUCCAGCCAGAAUCCCUUACCAUGGCUGAUACAGCGUGCUUGGGAAGCAGGUACAUGGUGACCUCCGCAGAUGGCAGCCAGCAGCAAAACCGUGGCUGGACCUGCAGCGAUACAGCACAACAGAAAGGGCUGGCACUUUGGAUUGCAACAUUACUGAAACGAAGAGCGUGAACACUACAGGAAUUUCUGCUCUAUGGAAAAAUGUUAUUUUUGGAUUCUUCAGGAAGGCGUGCGUAUAAAACCACCGGUUCCCUGGUGGAUCACAGCAAACAAAUAUCCAAAUAAGCCACUACAUUGGAGAGCAAGGCCUUUUAACGCUCUCUCAAGAAUUAUUCUACGAUGACCAGUUUUUCCCUCUACACUGCAGAAAACUGCAUGUUAAGGUGUAGCAGCCAACUCUGAGGAGACACUUUGCGUGUGCCUCAUCAGCCCUUGCAGUGAUGCCACAGGGAUUUGCCAGCAGCAGAGAGGACAGCCCAGGGAUUCCUGGACAGGCUCCAGGGAUCUUCUGCUAGGUGACAAGGUGACAGCUUCAGCCUGAACUGGAAUUGGGCCGCCUACAGGAUGAGAUGGACGAGAGCUGCUAGGUGUCAGGGUGGGUGGUCCUGAGCUCCAGGACACCUCCAGCCCCUACGCCAAGAAGUCGGCAUAAGGGGUUGAAUCCUCUGGGGGACAGUUCCUGCAAACGAUCGAGUGCUUGAAACCAAACAGAAAGCAGCCCACGUGUUUGUGCAGGAGGCUGAAACUGUGACACUUAGACGUGUGUUGUCCAUUUAGCCGAGUUUGCUUGCUUGGAGACUUGAGACUGUACAAGUCAGCAAGAUGUGAUUUGAAAAAACCUCUGCUGUACCGCAGAGCUUCUACUCACUGACAAGUUCAACAUCUGGCAAAUACUACGAAAGGUUACGUGAGCAAAGUGCAAUGAUCUAGCGGUACCCGCGCUGCUUGGAAGGGGACAGCACCCCCAGCAUCGCGCCGACCUAUCGCUCCUAUGGAUUUUUGAUACAGUGCAAAUUGCACAGCGGUUGCAAUACUCUAAAUACUCUAAAAAGAGAUUGCCAGAGUUUCAGUAUUGCACUUUUUGUUGGGUAGAGCAGCCUGCCGAGAUCCAGAGCCAGUCAGAGGUUUGCUUCUUGCUUCAUGACUCCCCAAAAUCCAAUUAUUGUGAGCUCUUUUCAGGAGAGAUCCUGCCAUAUCUGCAUCAGGACAACUCGCACAGAAAGCCAUCACACCUUGCCAGUAAAGCAUUCAUUAUCAUGCUUGGUGAACACAAUGACAGAGAUUGCAAAAACAAACAAACAAGAAAACAAACCUUUAAAGUGGGACGGGGAGUGGUGGCUCUUGAGAAAUGAUCUUUCAUGAGAUUAAGAGGUUGCCGCAUAAAAACGCAGCCUUCCCUAUACCAUUAAAAUGCAAUGCACCUCAGGCCAAAAGAACAAUCUGUGCAGCUAUUUUUAGGAAGCCUGUUGGUUUGGGAAAGUCUCAGAGGAAUUCCCUUGCUCUCAGUCCCAUCUUAAAAAAUAAAAAAAAAAAGGAAAAAAAGGGUCCAAAUUCCAGUUCUGUACAAGCGUUGCGUUGGGGAUGAAGUCAAAAUAAGUAACUUCCCAUUCCUCGAUUUGCAUUUUCCAUCUAGAAAACAAGUGAAUAAAUACAAAUAUGUAUGAGACAACCUAUAUUCACGAAAAUUCCUUCUGAAGAUUUUGCGGAAGAUCAGCCCGUAGGUACACAAGGAUUUUGGAUGAGGAUUCAGAUGAGGAUCUUGCUGAAUGAGCACAGAGCAAUGGGCCACUUCUGCCUCUGGUGGAACUUGUUCACUCUCAGCUAAAAGGUUUUGGGGACGGGGCUGGGAGCAGUUCAGCCCUGGUCAUAUUAGUGGAAGCUUUGCCACAGGUUAGAUGUAACGUUAAUCCUUGAAGUUUGGUCUUUAAAAAGAAUUUUUACUGGAGGAAGAGCUGGCUCCCAAAUAGUACCAGGGACUGGAUCUUUUAUCCAAGCUCUACAGGACUAUCCCAUUCUGGAUCCCUUUGGCGUGUGUCAAAAUAGGAAACGUUGCACGUGGGUGAACUUCCACACACUUUGUUCCGUCUAUCUGCAAAAUGUAGGCUAGUGCUUAUGGUAUCAUUUUGGAUGAAAAGUACUCCUUGACAUUUAAUUAUUAUCAGAAUUAGUCAUUAGUACUGUCGUCAUCACAAGGAGUUUUGCCACUGAUGUAGUAGGACCAGACCUUGGAGCCAGAGUUAGGUCAGCACUUCUCAUGUGAUUGUAGGAAGGUGCUUGUGUUUGGGAUGUAGCGUGUGAAAACACUGUGUGGGGAACAGAUUUAACUGAGGACAUUUAUCAGUCCCCAAACUUCUUUUAGGCUCCUUUCACCCUAAAAUUGUCUGAGACCCUGUCUUUACUGAAGGAUGAGAGACGCUAGAUCCAGGUUCCAGUCUUUAUGCUUGAUGAGCUAUUAGAAUGGGAAUUUGUUGCCCAACUCUUGGUUGGGAAACCUGAAAUUCAGAAAAAGCACUCACCUUCAAAGGAAUGCUGGAGCACAGGAGCAUCUUAGCCCAUGGCUGUGCUCAGCUGGCUGGUUGCAGCAGCGUCCUGCGCUGAUGGGUUUGACGCAGAGCACUGUAGAGCCUCUUUUCUUGCAGUGAUCGCUGCUUCGCACAGCAACCCAGGGACAGCAGCUCCUGCUAAGCUUGUGGAGGGCCUCGCACAGGGCCGUGAUGCUGGACCCAUGCAACCAGCCCUCUUCCACACUGGCCAGACCCUGCAGCACCUCCAGCCCUGCCAGCCCUGGGGCUCAGCAGGAGACGAUGCCCCACGACAAGGCAAGCAUCCAGCAUGUCCCUCUGGGAAUCGGGGGCUCCUGGCUGCCCCCUUCGCCGGGCUCUCUUUCCGCUGCCCCAGGCGCUGACUUUCCCGACUGAGAUACCAGAGAUUGGAUGGAUUAUCUACUGGCUGUUUCCAGACUGCUGUUUGUUUGGAGAAAUCAUGUUGGAGAUAAGAUGUUAAAAUACAGAUAAUUAAGUUGUCUUGAUAUGAGUGUAAUUCUGAAUUGAGAUUUAAAUAGCCUGCUUUGAAUUAUGCCUUACAUGCCUCUCCAUGGCUUUGCUUUGGGUCUCUGCUGAAGGAGACGAGGGGGAGAGCCCUGCAUUGUUGACAUUUGCUCUACAAAAACUUUUCCAGCUCUUCUUAGGGCCUUUUUCAGAGAAUGAAACCAGUUCAACCACUUCCCCAUGAACAUUAUGUUCUUUACAGAGCCAAGGAGCAGACUGUACUGCUGGGCUGGCUGUGAUUCAUUCCUUUGCGUUUCUCUCAUUAACACCUCUUCGUCUCACACCGGGGAAAUUUGGGAAGUUUCAUCUUGAACAGAGGGCAAAUUGAACUGCGAGGAGACCCUCCUUAACAAUGUGCAAAGCCCUUACACAUGCACGUAAAAGAAAAUAGAAAAGCCUUCCAAACCUGAGGGCCCUGCUGUCAAUUAUGGAA
Non-coding RNA from Phalacrocorax carbo (great cormorant), 3501 nucleotides. Lineage: Eukaryota; Metazoa; Chordata; Aves; Suliformes; Phalacrocoracidae. The record is from RefSeq and is a predicted model, not a curated record.